Salvia miltiorrhiza (redroot sage) is the source of this 3785-nucleotide RNA transcript. RefSeq lists it as uncharacterized. NCBI's taxonomy places the organism in Eukaryota, Viridiplantae, Streptophyta, Magnoliopsida, Lamiales, Lamiaceae. The record is from RefSeq and is a predicted model, not a curated record. The transcript has 5 exons.
CCGGGUAUCGGGUCGCGUGCGGGUAGGGUUUAGGGUCGCGGGCGGGUUAUAGGGUUUCAACAAAACUAAUUUUUCACCAUUUGUGCACCAAUUUUUCACCGCCAUUUACCGUUCUCUCUCGGCCCUUUUACCCUAAACCGCCCUCAACCGCGCCGUCGGAAAUCUCGUGGAAAACCGCCGUGAACUGCUGUCAACCGUCGUCAACCACCCACCUUCAUCUUCUCCACCUGCAUAUUAUCCGUUUAUCCACUCAACUCCACUCCAAAAAAUGACCAAGCGCAAGCGCAAGGCUUCACAAACCGGCUCGACCUCCAAGCGCCAGCGCGCUGCAGAAUCCGGCGAGGAAAAAGCCGGAUUUGGAGUUCCUGGAAGCGUCAUGGAUAUUUGCAAAGAAAUCAAUGCAGAUGAGAGUUCCGGAUCUGAGGAACAACAAUCACCGAUCCGGGUGGUGACUCUUCCAACCACGGCGGAAGAAGCCGGCGAGGAAGACGAAGCCGCCGAGGAAGAAGAUUCUGGAGAGGAAGAAGAAGCCAUCGAGGAAGAAGAAGCCGGCGAGGAAGAAGAAUCCGGAGGGGAAGAAGAAGCCGUCGAGGAAGAAGAAGCCGGAGCGGAAGAAGAAGCCGGCGAGGAAGAAGAAUCCGGAGCGGAAGAAGAAGCCGUCGAGGAAGAAGAAGCCGGAGAGGACGAAUCCGCCGAGGAAGAAAACUCCGAAGAGUCCGCUGGUGAAGAUGAGAAUGAUUUGGCAACUACGGUAAUUCCUUGAAAACCCUAAUUUACUUGAUGAUUUGCAUGUUGGAAUUACUCAGUUUUUUUGGGAUUUCCUCUCGGCACUUAUGGCACUAUUAGUGCCAUAAGUACCAAGAGGAACAUUGAUUACUCUGGUUUAUUUUGGAUUACUUGGUUUAUUUUGGAUUACUUGGCUUUAUUGUUGGGAUUUCCGUUUGUAGAUCUGAUGAAAUCUGUCAUUUUACUUGAUGUGUUUUUAUUUUAGAUUUCCUUUGGCACUUAUGGCACUAAUAGUGCCAUAAGUGCCAACUGUGUAUUUAAGAUCUCAUUAUAAUACGUUUCAUUCAUUUUGGCAUGCUUUUAUUUUCGGAAUGAAGGUACAAUGGAAAUACCUACGAAAAGGUAUGGAGACAAUAAAACACAAGGUCAACAUUACGGGCAAGGAGAACAUUAUUGAAAUCAUAAAGAAUGUUUUAGAGGGUGACAAUGUAUACCAUGAGCUGCAAGAGUCUGUUUUCAGUGAUUUCCUCAAACUGCCAUCCCACGUAUCACGAUCAGGCCAAUGCCUGCAUUUCAUGAUAUCAAGACAGAUAGAAGGAAAACCAAAACCGGAUGAGACGGCGUUGUUUUUUAUCGUGGAUGGCUAUGUGACGAGGUUUUCCAGGAUUGAGUUUUUUUUUAUGACAGGAUUGAAAUUUGGGUCAAGCAACUUUAACCCCUAUGAAGAUCACAUCAUACUUGAGAAUUCUUUUUAUCAGAGAGUUCUUGGCGGUACGGAAAUUUCCCCCAACAAAUUGAGGGAGAUGUUUAUGAGCCGAGGUUUGGGUGAGCAAAAAAUGGACUAUGUUAAGGCAGCAAAGAUGCUAAUAGUGACGGAUCUGAUAUUCGGCUAUGAUGGUACGAAUUACAGAAUUCCGGAUUGGCUCUGGGUGCUAUCUGAGGACAAAACAGCAUGGGAGGAAUUCCCAUGGGGCAGCAUGUCAUUUCAGAUGACAUGUCAUGCAAUCAACAAGGUGAGAAGCACUCCAGCAGCAGCAGCAAAUGCAUCAUAUCAUCUAGCCGGGAACACUCUUGCCUUCUUGGCUUGGAUGUUUUGUGCUCUCCCAAAGCUGGGAAAGGAUAUCGGACAAAGAAAACCCUCAAAAGUAUUCCCCCGGAUGCUGAGGUUCACCUACACUAACAAUCGCAGGAGACCGGAAGCUGACGAACAGGUUCAUUUUUCACUGAAACCAACAGAAGAGGAAAAGCAAGAUAAACACUGGGCAUCUAUUGAAGAAGAAGGAACGCCAUUCAUUUUGCAGUACAGUCCCACUGCGGAUGGCAGCAAGAAGAGAGCAAAGAAAAUGGCCGCGAGGUAUGAGGGGGUAAGAAUGAUUCAAGAACGAAUGAUAGAGAGCGAAGGAGAAGGAAGAAACCAGCAACAGCAAGAGCAUCAACAACAGCAACAUCAACAACAACAGCAGGGAGAGGCUGUGAUGACAUUCACAGCCUCGGAAAUGAAGCAAUUUAUUGAAAAAGUGGGAGAAAGCGCAGCAAAGAGAGCGCGCAUUGAAUUUGCUGAAUAUUUCAAUCGGGAAGAGCUGAUAAAUGACAUAGCUGACUGCGUCGUUAGCAAAUUGCGUCAAAGAUAGCAAUAUAGGCCACCACAAGAGGUUAAAAUUUCUUAGUGCUUAGUAUUGUAUUCCUCACACUAAUCAUUGUUUUCAAACCAGGUUGCAAGCACAGCAGAAUGGAUGGCGCACUGUGAAUCUGAGGAGAGAUUUUACUGCCAAGUAUGGGGAACACCGGCUUCUAUGCCAACACCAACACCAACACCCACACCACCAGCAAAUGCAGACAUUGAAGCCGGAAUAUCAGCCGCAGCGGCAGCACCAGCAACCGCACAACAUGAAGCAGGAACAUCUGCAGCAGUGGCAGCAGCAACAGCAUCCCCGCCUCAACAAUUGGGGCAAAUCAGACCAAAAAGGAUGAGGAUGCCAUCUGCAGCAUGUAAAAGUCUAUUCCGGCGUGAUGAUGUCAGAGGAACAAAUUUUAUUAGGUACCUGAGGAGCAAAGAAGUUGAACAGUAAGUAAUUAAGUAGCAUUGAAUAGAUUUGCCUAAUGUAUGCCUAAUGUAUCAUCAUUCCAAUUAACAUUCUCAUAUGCAUUGAUAUGUCCAGGAGGAAUGUGGGAUUGCCAUAUCUGGUGGACAAAAAUUGGUUUGGUCUGAUAAAGAAGACUACCGAAAAGCUAGACAGUCAAAGCAUAGACUCCUACCUUGCCGUGCUAGCAGCAAAACCAGAGUUGGCUGGUUUUGAAGGAAUUGAAUUCCCUGCAAACAUUGCCAUCACAGGCACAAUGUUCUCGGCCGCCAUAGACCAAGUAUGGAAUGAAUUACAUGGAAAAGAUCCGAAAGGCACAACAUAUGACCCGAAAAGCGAAGAGAUCAUACAAGAGGAACAAAUGAAGAGGCUAUGCUUGUUUGCAGUGGGGAAAGAGCCACGAUGGGGGGAGUAUGUCAAGAAAUGGAACGAUGUUGAGAAGCUCAUCAUGAUUGUUCACUUCAACGAUCACUGGGCCACCUGUUUGGUGAAUUUCACGGACCAAGAGUUGAAGAUAUAUGACUCCAAUCAGCACAAGUUCGAUGAUAUCCAUCUCGAUAUACGUCAAUGUGCUUUCUUGCCAAUCUGCAGGAUUAUACCACAGAUCCUCAAGAAGAUUGGCUAUUAUGAGAAGCGCAAUGUGGAUGGGAAAUACACAGAAUGGAUAUAUUCCUACCCAUACGAUGGAUCGAACAAUCUGAAACAAGUGGAUAGCGUAAGUUGUGGGGUUCUGUGUCUUAAGUAUGUCGAGAUGAUGCUUACUGGAAAGUACGUUGAAAAGAACAUGAGCAAGGCAGUGCUUAAAACAUUCCGUGAAAAGAUAGCAGAAAGCAUCUACAAAUUCAGCACGGAUCCAAGUACCUUUGAGCCCUUGGAUGAUGAAGAUGAACAAGAGGAUGCCGGUGAAGGCGAAGAUGACGGUGAAGGCGUUGCGGCAGCCAAUCUUCGUGAAUGAACAAUCAGUUUAUAUUUGUAAAA